This 256-nucleotide long non-coding RNA is filed under the name Physcomitrium patens. RNAcentral's name for it is "long non-coding RNA (PPAT_LNC010405)". The record is from RNAcentral. Lineage: Eukaryota; Viridiplantae; Streptophyta; Bryopsida; Funariales; Funariaceae.
UGUGUAAUUGGGUUAAAAAGCUUUAGAUCAAAGUUUCAUAGUAUUUGAAUAAUUACUUUGUGAGAUAUGAAGGAAGUUGUACACGGGUGUAAAAAAUCUAGGGUUUGAAGCUAUAGUUAGGGUUUUCAAGAUAUCACAAGAUCCAAGACGAAUUUACGGUUGAAUUUUGGUGUGGUAGUUGCUAAAGAUACAUCAGUACUCCAUGUAAAAUUUGGAGUUGUUUCGACGGUUAGAUCGUAAGUUAUGAGCUGUUGAA